CUGGCCCUCGAUAACUGCAGUUUGAGACCACUGGUAUAGUGUUAUGGAAAGUUACAAUGUGGUAUAUAAAUGUAAAACAACAGAAGCAGACCAUUACAGACUGAUGGUGGGAUUACAGCAGAGGGCAGAACAGAUGAAGGUGUGCAGGAGGAGGUCGUCCACGAAGCGUCACGCUUUGUACUCCAGUGAGCGGCGCGCUGCUGCAGCAGAAGGCCAAACCAUUGGAGUUGUCGCUUCUGGAUCAGCUGUUCCCGUUCUAUUCCUACCUCCACCUUCCUCUCUACCCAUUUUCCUCCCUCUCUACCUGUCUACCUCUCUUCCUCACUCACAUCCCGUCUUUUCCGCUUCUUAGAAUUACUCUUCGCCUUCUUUCCUUGUUGUCCUUCCUCUUUACAUGUCUUUACUUCCUUUCUGUUUUAAUCCCUCCUUGUAUUCCUGUUGUACUUCGCUUUCUCAAUGUCUUCUUCCCUGAGUGCCCACAAUUUCCUGUCCUUCUGCUAUUCCUGUCUCCCUCUCCCCUCCCUCUCUGUCUCCUUUUCUCCAUCCCUUCUUCCCUUUCUCCCUUUCCCUCCCCCUC
Non-coding RNA from Neolamprologus brichardi, 577 nucleotides. The record is from RefSeq and is a predicted model, not a curated record. Lineage: Eukaryota; Metazoa; Chordata; Actinopteri; Cichliformes; Cichlidae.